UGUACACGCUGUGACUAGCAUAUCAAUAAGCGGAGGAAAAGCUAUACCUACGCUUAGGAUGUUGACGAGACUGUCGAUCUCAUCUAUACAUGACUCUGUGCAUAUCAAUAAGCGGAGGAAAAGAGGGCUAUUACCUACGCUUAGGAUGUUGACGAGACUGUCGAUCUCAUCUAUACAUGACUCUGUGCAUAUCAAUAAGCGGAGGAAAAGGUACCUACGCUUAGGAUGUUGACGAGACUGUCGAUCUCAUCUAUACAUGACUCUGUGCAUAUCAAUAAGCGGAGGAAAAGAGGGCUAUUACCUACGCUUAGGAUGUUGACGAGACUGUCGAUCUCAUCUAUACAUGACUCUGUGCAUAUCAAUAAGCGGAGGAAAAGUGCUACCUACGCUUAGGAUGUUGACGAGACUGUCGAUCUCAUCUAUACAUGACUCUGCGCAUAUCAAUAAGCGGAGGAAAAGUACUACCUACGCUUAGGAUGUUGACGAGACUGUCGAUCUCAUCUAUACAUGACUCUGUGCAUAUCAAUAAGCGGAGGAAAAGGUACCUACGCUUAGGAUGUUGACGAGACUGUCGAUCUCAUCUAUACAUGACUCUGUGCAUAUCAAUAAGCGGAGGAAAAGAGGGCUACUACCUACGCUUAGGAUGUUGACGAGACUGUCGAUCUCAUCUAUACAUGACUCUGUGCAUAUCAAUAAGCGGAGGAAAAGUCAAUACCUACGCUUAGGAUGUUGACGAGACUGUCGAUCUC
RNAcentral lists this ribosomal RNA (749 nucleotides) under uncultured Neocallimastigales. RNAcentral describes it as "partial large subunit ribosomal RNA". Lineage: Eukaryota; Fungi; Neocallimastigomycota; Neocallimastigomycetes; Neocallimastigales. The record is from RNAcentral.